RNAcentral lists this unclassified non-coding RNA (712 nucleotides) under Nilaparvata lugens (brown planthopper). Its description in RNAcentral is "40S ribosomal protein S11, transcript variant X2". The record is from RNAcentral. Lineage: Eukaryota; Metazoa; Arthropoda; Insecta; Hemiptera; Delphacidae.
GACGAAGAGGUGUUUGGAGAAAUUGUACACGAUGGCGGAUCAGACUGAACGUUCAUUUCAAAGGCAGCCAACCAUUUUCCUAAACAGGAAGAAGGGCCUUGGCGCAAAGAAGAGAAAAUCGCUCCGUUACACGCGAAACAUUGGUUUGGGUUUUAAGACCCCUCGUGAGGUAUGUUUGUUGCCAAGAAUGUUGUGAUGACUUGCUCUAAUAGCGUUUGUUUUGUUGUAACUUUAGACCGAGAAAGCCUAUCAGAAGCAGCCUCAUCUGUUCACCUGCCGUAAGGCGUCCGCUAAAAAGAAGCCACUCAGGCGUUCCAGAAAUGUUGGUCUUGGCUUUAAGACUCCCAGAGAGGCCAUUGAUGGAACAUACAUUGACAAGAAGUGUCCUUUCACCGGCAAUGUAUCGAUUAGAGGACGCAUUUUGACCGGCGUUGUACAGAAAAUGAAAAUGCAGAGAACCAUCGUCAUUCGCCGAGAUUAUCUGCAUUACAUCAGAAAGUAUAAUCGUUUCGAGAAGAGGCAUAGGAAUAUGUCAGUUCACCUUUCGCCGUGCUUCAGAGACGUGGAGAUCGGCGAUGUGGUGACCGUUGGCGAAUGCAGACCUUUGAGCAAAACUGUCAGAUUCAAUGUAUUGAAAGUUACUAAAGGUCAAGGUUCAAAGAAAAGUUUUAAGAAAUUCUAAACAGUUUCUGUAAUGUUUCAUUAAAAAAAA